GCUGCUGUGUGCCGGUAUGCCGGGGUAGGCUAGACAGCUCACAAUUUUCUGUUUGUACUUAAGAGGCAGCAGUAUUUGACAGAAAAUAAUAAUACUUUGAUGCUCUUCUCACGCCUACAAGCGAAGACGGCGUGAUUAACAACACAGCGUAAUGCGCAACGGUGAACGCCAACGAACUCCACCACCAACCUGGACGAAGCAUUUUGGACUGAAGCUGCCUCGAUAUCUACAAUACAUUGGAUACUACGUGCAGGAUAAUGAAUGGCUACCUGAACGCUGCUUGAAGCGGCAAGCUCUACAGUAUCACUUAUGCUCCUUUCCAUGGGUUGGCAAGAGGAACCGUGGCACGCAGCUCCACAGUCACCUGUGCUCUUCACUACCUUCGGAGAAGAUGCAUUGGAUGCUCCCUAUCAUGCACUGCCAUCUCAACAGUACCAUGGCUUUUUGUGUGGAUUCCUUCCAUUUUGAAUGCCACCACUGCUUGCACAGCAUCACAGCCUGCCUGUCUUGAUCUUGCGGAAGAAGAAAAUACAAAAUGCCUAUUUUUUUAAAUGCGUGCAUGGCUCCACGCAAGACACCACCUGGCGUCGGGGUGUUAGGGCUUUUUGCAGAGAAAAUGUUUGUAAUAAUGCCUUGUGUGUGCCCUAGUGGCUAAAUGUUGGCCUCUUUGCCUGUGUAAAAAUUUCACACUUAUGGAUACUGUUAAGGGUUCCUGUAUUAUUGUUAUUACUUAGUUUCCUGUUCAGGAUUCCUGUAUUGGAAAUUUUUGUUUCAUUAUAAAACUAAAAAUUUUAGUUGAAUUGCUGCUUUGUGCGAUAUGCAAUAUUCAGCCGAAGGUGGUCAGCAGAGGUCGAACAAGCGUUAUAUCAGGUGGAGAAAUUUUUUUGAGCAGGGGACUUCUUCGUUAGGGUAACAACUGUUUUCCUUGGCAUUAUUUAUAUAGUUCACUUUUCUCCACUUCAUGGAUAUCCAUCAAAAUGACUGAGUGCAUAGGGAGGGUGAGGCAAGUUUAAAUGCUCAACAUGGGGAUUUAGUUAGGAUAGCAAGGUGUGUAGAAGUAGGGGAGUUUGGGAGGUUGCUGACACCGAUUUCUAUGAGUGAUCUUGUUGUUUGUGUCAAUGUCGGUUAUAUAAUGCGAGGCGUCUUCUGAGGCAAGAAACUUUGAAAAAGCUCCUUAUAGCUGUGGAAAUUCAGUACGUGCCCCCUGGGGCUACCAUGGGUGUGUCACUGUGGCCAUUGGUUAUCACUUGGGGCCACUGGGUAGAUGCAGCUCUUCACCGAACUUUUUUGACACAAACUUGUGUAUGUACACUGGGUGUGUGCCACUGCAUGUGUGCCACUCUUUAAUGGACCUCUUUGAUGCUGACUUUGGUCAUGGGGCAUCACAACAAGAACCUACGUAGUGGCAUCUGUGUAUGCAUGUAAGUGAGCUGAAAUUGUUUGCUUGGAUUUCCUUUCCCUGACGACUAGUCCCCUUGUUGAAUUUACUUCAGCCUGAGAUAUCACCUGUUUGACUACUGUUAUCACAUUAUGCCCCAUUUUGCUGUGAACUUGUCAUGUUCUCUAGCUGGCAAGCUUGAAUUUCAGGUACUGCACAGUGCUAAGGAAAUUGAUUCAGAGUGGGUGGUACUACCUCGGCUUUUCUUUGCAGCUGCGUGUUACAUGAGAGAAUAAGUUGUAUGUAGAUGUCUAUUAGAAAUAGCAUAGGUAUUCAAAAGUACUUUCAUUAUGUUCUAGGUCAUUGGUGCUGUCUGGCCUCCUUUGCAUCAUUUUUUGUAGCAUGCUUGUUUACGUGCAAAAACAAAUGUGGCCUGUUCUAAUGCCUGCAAGGACUGCCCAAUAGCUCAUGAUGUUUUGAGCCACUCAAUUUCAGUCUUGGCUGCACUUGUGGAUUUUCAACAUCACUGAAGCUUGCAAUAUGCUUGAAUUUCCUGCCAAACUGGUUUGCUUGUUUGUAUCCAAUUUAUUGAAUUAUUUCACUUUCAUUAUGCUAAUAGUCAUUGAUUGUAAUAUGCUGGCACAUUUGA
This is a non-coding RNA of Dermacentor albipictus, 2027 nucleotides long. The record is from RefSeq and is a predicted model, not a curated record. Lineage: Eukaryota; Metazoa; Arthropoda; Arachnida; Ixodida; Ixodidae.